This 119-nucleotide ribosomal RNA is filed under the name Naegleria gruberi. The record is from RNAcentral. Lineage: Eukaryota; Heterolobosea; Eutetramitea; Acrasida; Naegleriidae.
GGCUACGGCCAUAUCACGAUGAAUGCACCUCAUCCCGUCCGAUUUGAGAAGUUAAGCAUCUUCGAGCCACAUCAGUACUGAGGUUGGAGACAACUUGGGAACCUGUGGUGCUGUAGUCU